Molecule: unclassified non-coding RNA, 407 nt
Filed under: Hevea brasiliensis (rubber tree)
Lineage: Eukaryota; Viridiplantae; Streptophyta; Magnoliopsida; Malpighiales; Euphorbiaceae
Source: RNAcentral
CCUUCCAGAAAUAUCAAAAGAUAUUCUAUAAUAAAUUAUCAUUGCUCACAGCAUGAGAACUAAUAACGAACACUAUGUAGUUUCUAAAAGGUUCUAGGUGUAGAUCACUAAUAGCUAAACCUGAGCUGGUGAUCUUCUUCUGGAUCCCAAUGCCUAGAAUACACAAAAUCUCACUUUAAGAAUGCAUGUCCAUUUAUUACAAUAUUCGAACAGCUAAAAUUAAAAUAUGUAGCAACUUUGGGCAAACUUCAAACUCCUUAUGAUUCGCAGUGCCACCACAAAUUAACUGGAAAAAACAGUCCUAGAAAAAAAAUCCAAUGCUGUAUGAGGAAUUUUUUUUUUCGAAGGUAUGAGGAAUAUGGAAGAAGAGAGGAUGAAACAAAACCUGAGCAGAAGCUCCACCAAGU